Anas platyrhynchos (mallard) is the source of this 932-nucleotide non-coding RNA. NCBI's taxonomy places the organism in Eukaryota, Metazoa, Chordata, Aves, Anseriformes, Anatidae. The record is from RefSeq and is a predicted model, not a curated record.
AGCAAUGCACAGCGCAAUUGCCCGACCCGUCCUUGAGCAAUGGCAGACCCCUGCCAAUUCUGCCCCGUUUUUUUUCAGCACAGCACCGCAUGGUGUGGGACAUCCCUUUGGGCAACCUAGGGCCAGCUGUCCUGGCCCUGUCCCCUCCAGCUCCUGGUGCACCCCCAGCCCCUCAUCCCCCGUGGGGCAGCAGGAGGGGCUGUAAUGCCCUGGGCUGUGUGUGAGCACUGCACAACAGCCAACACAUCGGUGGCUUUAUGGCUUUAUUCCUACCCUAGAGCCAAAGCAUGGCAACAUUUUCUCACCGCUAUGAAGAAAAUCAGCUACCCCAGCCCAAACCAGGACACCCGAGCGACCAGCCGAGGGGAAGGACGCCUCGCAGAAGGGGCAAGCCACAACCCGACAAAACAAAGGCAGGAGCAGCCGGGGCCCCCUGCCCGCGGAGACACGCGGGGCAGCCGACACGUGCGGCAGGAGGCAGCAGAUGCCAGCCUGAAGCCAUACUGCAAUAGUUCACAGAGACUUCACUACUCUGCUGUAGGGGGUUUGUACAGUUUUUCAUUCGAGACUGACAUUAGUGCUAUGCAACAUCCCCAUUUAAAGCCUGAAAUGGAUUGAGGACAGUGGAGACACCCUGUGGCAUCCCUCUGAACUCUCAGACAGGCAGAGUGAGCAGUUUGACGUUUAUCUUCCUCCGGCAACAACGGCUGUCCUCAUGUAAAACUAUAAGGCCUCAAUUAGGUGCUACGUCUGUACCAAGCUUGGCACAGAGGUCUUUAAGUAAUCACAGUAACUGGGCAUACUGAAAUGAAAGUUAUUGCUAUGGGAAUGGCAAGAAGAGCCUCAGAUUCCCAUAAGACAUUAACAGGCCUUUAGGAUGUAUAAUUCACUUGACUCUCAAUUGUUCAUCCAGUAAAUAAUGUUGUGCUUUU